UGUUUCAUUUAUUCAGUUCUCCUUAUAAUGCUCCAUUUACUCAUUUACUCAUAUGCUCCUGUUAAGAAAGGCUUAGAAAGCACAUAGUGUUCACAUAUCUUUAUGUUUUGUCUUUGCUUCUUCUCACACACAUACACAUGAGCCCUGCAGUAUUCGCUGACUCCUGUGAAAGUCUCUUGCAGACACCCUUGGAAACAGGACCCAACUGGCUUCUGUUUUCCUCGAGAUAGACAAUACACUCACACACACACACACACACACUGUGUCCCAUACAUGCCCAGAUUGUCUGUUACAGCCUGACAAAACAGGGAAUGCUACGAAGUAUAAAUAAAGCUGACUGCAAAGCCUCGGCGUGAGUAUCACCCGAUCACUCACCCGUGCGCACGUAGUUCUCUGAACAAAACUCUGACUGUUUCUGUAUUCUUUCAAUGUUUAAAAAUGUCUUGCCACUGACAUUUAAUUGGUCCUUCGAGCCGGAUAGUUUAUUGAUAUUAUUGUAUCAUCUAACUAUUCACAGACGGAGCCACCAGAUCCUGACGUCGUGACUACCUGCACUGCAACCACCGUUUCUAGCGAAGCGAGGAAAAGCCCAGAGGUGUACAUUCGCCUACUGGCCAGUGUCUUAUACAGGUCCACGACGCCAGGUUCUCGGUGACGCCGGGAAAAAGAACACAGCGCAACAUUGAAGUCUCUUCCAGGUUGAAACCAGGAGAUUGGAUCCUGAUAAAAGUGCUCCAGAGGAAAAAGUGGAGCUCCCCGAGGUGGGAAGGACCCUACCAAGUCCUCCUGGCCACACCAACAGCCUGCAAAAUUGCUGAACGACCUUCCUGGAUUCAUCAGAGCCACUGUAAAAAAGUGAGUGACAGUCCACACUGAGACGCCAGCACCCCUGCCUGUUAGUGAUCUGGGAGGUGGAGAGAGGGCUGUUUGGGUAAAUCCCGCCCUUGUUCUUCUCGCCCCUAGUCUACUCACUCACAGGACCAGGUGUGUUCGGUCAUCAUGAAGACCCUACUCGUUCUGGUGGCCAGUGUCACAAUUCUGUUGGGACUGCUGUCGCUGAUUUCAGAAGAAGAAGGACAAGAUUGACACAUGACACAAUACAUCCAGACGACAUGACACAAGAUCACAACCACCCAUGGAUGAACAAUGCCUGGUACCGUUAUGUGUAAAACUCCACAAGAGACAGAAACUAUUACAUCUGUUCGCACAUGCCUCUUAAUGCAAAACACCUGAUAAUGUGCAUUCCACCAACUUGUCUGA
Molecule: long non-coding RNA, 1260 nt
Organism: Oreochromis niloticus (Nile tilapia)
Lineage: Eukaryota; Metazoa; Chordata; Actinopteri; Cichliformes; Cichlidae
Exons: 2
Source: RefSeq, a predicted model, not a curated record